RNAcentral lists this transfer RNA (47 nucleotides) under Panthera spelaea (Eurasian cave lion). RNAcentral describes it as "partial tRNA-Thr". The record is from RNAcentral. Lineage: Eukaryota; Metazoa; Chordata; Mammalia; Carnivora; Felidae.
UUGGUCUUGUAAACCAAAAAAGGAGAACAUGUGCCCUCCCUAAGACU